UAGUUUCAAACCGAAAGUAGUACAAUUACGCGGUGAGGUAAAUAAUGAACUUCACAUUCUGCAGCUGUAGUACGACGGGAAUCUCCGCAUUGUGGUAUAAAAGCGAAAGUAAUUUAUCAUAAAGAAUAUACGCAGAAAGUGAAAUGCAAAGUUGCUGCCAAGUUAGUAAGUUGUAAUUAUCCGUGAAUAAAUAAACAUGGGAGGUAGAGUAUCAAAUCUACCAGAACAGACUAUGCUGGAAAUGGUAGAAGAUUUGCAGAAACAGAUGAGUGACAUCGACCAUUCUGUAACUGGACUGGCGAAAUCUAUAGAUUCGAUGCAAGCUGUCAGCCAGAUGCUUCUUUUGCACCUAGAAAAGAAACAAGAGUCACAAAAUG
Ruditapes philippinarum (Manila clam) is the source of this 377-nucleotide long non-coding RNA. RefSeq lists it as uncharacterized. The record is from RefSeq and is a predicted model, not a curated record. The transcript has 3 exons. Lineage: Eukaryota; Metazoa; Mollusca; Bivalvia; Venerida; Veneridae.